Molecule: long non-coding RNA, 2913 nt
Organism: Eriocheir sinensis (Chinese mitten crab)
Lineage: Eukaryota; Metazoa; Arthropoda; Malacostraca; Decapoda; Varunidae
Exons: 2
Source: RefSeq, a predicted model, not a curated record
AUUCUACUCCAAGGUAUUUUGCCUCAUAUAAGCCAAUACAGCAUUAUAGAAGACACAAUUUCCACUUUUUCAGUAUAGUUAAAAAGCCAUUCACUGUUUUGUUAUCCCGUUCAAAUGUGUGACUCAAGUUAGUACUCAUUCCAAGGUAUUUCAAUCUCAUUACUCACUCAAAACAGUAUAUAUAGGCCUCAAUUUUCAGUCUUCCGUUAUUCAGUUAAAAAAGGCCAUUCACUGUUUUGUUAUUCCGUUAAAACACGUGACACUUAGAUUAGUAUUCAUUCCAGGGUAUUUCAAUCUCAUUACUCACUCAAAACAGUAUAUAUAAGCCUCAAUUUUCAGUCUUUCGUUAUUGUUAUAAAAAGCCAUUCACUGUUUUGUUACCCCGUUAAAAUACGUGACACUUAGAUUAGUAUUCAUUCCAGGGUAUUUCAACUCCGCCAGUCCAGUAAUAUAAACAAACAGAAUAUAAAAACAAACACACAUCAACUUCAGUGCCACACAACCGCAAAUAACAACCGUCAAUCAAUCCAUAUAUGUAUAUUUACUAACGAAUAUAUAUUUACUACAGACGCCAACCUUGAAAACUUCCAUCAUUUCAGACCACACGGGGCAAGGUGAGACUAGACUGGAUACAACAGGGGGAGUCUCACCAUAAGAUGUAUCCAAAUUAGAGGGGGGAGGGGUUAUUAAGGGGGGCAUCCUCUCCCUUUUGCCGGGGUGUUCGUGGCCCACAAACACACAUAAGAGAGCAGAAGAGAACCUCAAGACCCCAGAAAGAUGAAGAGGAGAGAGAAAAUGCAACUGGCUGGCUCACACACACACGCACGCACACACAUUCAGGUACUCAUACACGUACAUAUCAAGGUGUUGUGUGCGUGUAGUGUGAUGUGCUGUGUGCUGUGUGUGCUGUGUGUGUGUGUGUGUGUGUGUGUGUGUGUACUGGACGUUGUUAUGCUUGUGGUUUUGAACGGUCUAUUUCCUCUCCUCUCCUCUCCUCUCCUCUCCUCUCCUCUCUCUCUCUCUCUCUCUCUCUCUCUCUCUCACACAGAAGCACAGAGGACAUAACCAGCCAGAAGGGGAAAAAAAGGGGGGUGGGGGUGGUCUAGACAACCCCAUAGCAUAGAAAUAGUGGUAGUAGUAGUAGUAGUAGUAGAAAACAGAGUAUAUAUAAAAGACAUCAUGUAGUAAUAGUAAUAGUAAUAGCAGUAGUAUAUAUAAAAUGGAAAAAUAUCUACCUUCUCAACUAAAUCAAGACUAAGAGUAAGGAGCGUAAGUGGGCCAAGAGAUAUGACUACCAUCACAAAGGGAGGGGGAGGGAAGAGGGGGAGGGGAGGAGGGAAGGCGUGGAGGGAGAGAAGGGCAGGAGGAGGAAGGGAAGGAGAGGGUACGGUACGGAGCUGUCAAGUGCCGUUUUUACAUAAGUUCCCCCUUCAAAAAUACUUAUCGUUCUUUUUUCCUUCUAUUUAAAGUACCAUUCAGUGUUUGGUUACCCAGUUAAAAUGUCUUACUGUGUUUUGGUUAUCCUGUUAUAGCCUUUCAAUAUCAUGUUUUCCCAUUAAUAAAGCAUUGACCACUGUUUUGCUACCCCGUUGAAAAGGCAUACACAGUUUUGUCACCCCGUUGCAAAUAGUGAAGUGACAUUUGUUUUGGUUUUCACGGCAGCUCCUUCCUCUCCUCUCUCCUUCCUUACCCCGUCACCCCCACCGCCCCCCAGCCUUCCCCUCCACUCCCCUCCCUCCCCCUCAGAUAAAUAUAAUAGUAAAGACGGUUUUGUGAGGCAGUGAAUAAGGCAAGUGUUGGUAGAUGAAAAAAAAUAUUAAAAAAAUGGAGUUAGUAAAAUAUAUAUGAAUUUCGAUACAUAUUGUCAUCCUGUAUCCAGAUCAAUUAUUCCUUUAUUUCACUAUUAUUAUUUAGUUUAUUUAAUAAUUUAUCAACACAUAGGCCUAGUAACUGCCUCACUAAACCGGACAUAAGGAAAAAACUUAAUUAGGAAUGAAUCGAGACCAGAAAAUGACAAAACAAAAGUAAGUAAACAACAACAAGAGCAGUCCAUCACUAACUUCACUAUCAUCAUCAUCAGGAAAAGCAAUUAAGGUGAAAACAAUUAACAGGUAAGGUAAGGGAAGGUACGUGAGCGCGCACCUUUUGUUUACCUUCAGACAAAACCAAAACAACAAAACAAAAACAUCACUCUGGUCUCAAGACAUUCAAAGGCCGCUGGCUCACCGUCGCUGUCCGCCCGAGUGACUGAUGGAAGGGAAAGGAAUAGGAAUGGGAGGAGGAGGAGGAGGAGGAGGAGGAGGAGGAGGAGGAGGAGUAUGGGUAACAAUGGUAACUCGUUGAGGAGGAAGAAUGGAAGGAGAGGAGGAUGGAGUAUUUUAAUGAGAGAGAGAGAGAGAGAGAGAGAGAGAGAGAGAGAGAGAGAGAGAGAGAGAGAGAAAUAAAUAAGGUAAGAUGUAAAAAAAAAAAUAGAGGGAAGGAGUAGAAAAUCAUGAUGGUAAUGGUAAUGAAUAAAUGAGAAUGAAAAAGGAAGGAAGGAAGGAAGGAAGGAAGAGAAAUGAAUAAAUAAACAAAUGAAUAAAUAGGUGAAUAAAUAAGUGAAUAAAUAAAUAACUAAAUGAUGUUUGGUUGAGGUAAAUAAACAAGGUGUGAAAGGAAAAUAAUAAUAAAAAGUAACCUACGGCAAGAUGAGGCUAGAGGUAAGGAAUGACACACACAAAAACAUGAUUAGAAGAAAAUAUGAAAAGUUAAAAAAAAUAUAUAAAUAAACAAGAAAAAGAAAAAAAAAUAAUGUGAUGGUUUGAGUGACAGGAAAAGCAUAAAAAAAAAAAACAGGAUGAAAAAAAAGGAGAAAAAAAGAGCAAGACUAUAAGCGAAAAUAACCACGAAAAAAAAAAAAAAAAAAAAACUAAA